AGAUUGAACGCUGGCGGCAGGCCUAACACAUGCAAGUCGAGCGGUAGAGAGGUGCUUACAUCUCUUGAGAGCGGCGGACGGGUGAGUAAUGCCUAGGAAUCUGCCUAGUGGUGGGGGAUAACGUUCGGAAACGGACGCUAAUACCGCAUACGUCCUACGGGAGAAAGCGGGGGACCUUCGGGCCUCGCGCCAUUAGAUGAGCCUAGGUCGGAUUAGCUAGUUGGUGAGGUAAUGGCUCACCAAGGCGACGAUCCGUAACUGGUCUGAGAGGAUGAUCAGUCACACUGGAACUGAGACACGGUCCAGACUCCUACGGGAGGCAGCAGUGGGGAAUAUGGACAAUGGGCGAAAGCCUGAUCCAGACCAUGCCGCGUGUGUGAAGAAGGUCUUCGGAUUGUAAAGCAACUUUAAGGUGGAGGAAGGUUGUAACCUAAUACGUAGCAAUUUGACGUUACGACAGAAUAAGCACGG
This 471-nucleotide ribosomal RNA is filed under the name uncultured soil bacterium. RNAcentral describes it as "bacterial SSU rRNA". It matches the Rfam family "Bacterial small subunit ribosomal RNA", at positions 26 to 495 of the family's 1533-position model. The record is from RNAcentral.